Long non-coding RNA from Populus nigra (black poplar), 2101 nucleotides. RefSeq lists it as uncharacterized. The transcript has 4 exons. NCBI's taxonomy places the organism in Eukaryota, Viridiplantae, Streptophyta, Magnoliopsida, Malpighiales, Salicaceae. The record is from RefSeq and is a predicted model, not a curated record.
UUCAAAUCGACAUGUACUUGCGCUCUUUUAUGCGUGACGUGAUGACGACUAUCGAAGAAUGUUUUCCGACUCUCCGUGCACCGACACAAAUAACCGAGAAAUCCACAAAUUGGGGCGAGAGAAUGCAGCAACAUUUCCUCAAAUAUGUUUUGGGACUUCAUAGAGGGUUGUAGUAAUGAUGAUACCGAGCCGUCUUCAAGGUAUCAAGGAGAUAUUAUUUCUAUGGUUGCUGAUAUUGGUGUCACUGAGCCAAAUUCUCGGAUCCAGCCACCGAAUUUCUCGAAUUCUAAUGCGAUGGAAACUAAGAGUUUUCAAGAAUUUUCUUGGGGCUCAACAGACAUAGAGUGUCAUCCAAUUUUACAGGCCACAACUAGCACUGAGCUGAAAAGGGAGCUUCCAUGGGAACCUUGCAUAAUAGAGUCAAGUGGAAGCUAAAAAGAAAUCUCAGGACAUACCACUCUUUCAAAAAUGUCGAAGUGAAGUGUCUGACAAGGUUUGCUGAGAACCGAGGAGAAAGAAGCAUGAUCAAAGGCCUAAAAGAACACGUUCAGCUGAGAUGCAUAAUGUGUCUAGGCGCAGGGACCGGAUCAAGGGAGAAAGCUGAGAGCUCUACCGGAAUUGAUACCCAACUGUCACAUGUUCGCAGUGUCUAAUCUAUAUUGACAAUAUCUUCUUGAUUUUGCUGUUAACAGGAAGCUGGGAUGCUCAAGUUUCCUAUCUCAGCAUGGAUUUUAGUAUAAGCCAUAUUGCAAUUUUACAAAAACAUUACCUGCAAUUUGUUUUCUGAACUAUGAAUUAGUUAGCAAUGGUGUUUUUCACUAAUGAUUAUGUGAGGAUCGGCUAUGUAGCCAACUCCCUUAUAUUCUCUUCAUGGUACAGGCUUUUGUAAUUUCACGUGUAGUGGUUUGAGCUGUAUUUAUAUAUUUAUCAGGUCAAGGGAGCUUUGUGAGUCCAGAUAUUUGAAACUUAAAAUCUGUCACAAACUGAGCUCUGAUUUUGACAUGCAGCUAUCUAUUUGUUUGCUUUCUAGCUAAUUCAUCAUUCAUGUGGCUAUUCAGAAGCUGCUGAAGUAAGAGUUUACAUGGUUGAGCUAGUAGCUGUUAUAAAUGAGUUGUUCUGAAAUGCAUAUAAGAGUUUUUUUUUUUCAUUUGAGUGGUUGCCACUAAUUCAUCUUUAAAUGGUCGUAUUAGUACUGGAUGACAUGGUAUUAUGUUUCUUUUUGCUAAAGCAAUUUAUUUAAUUGUUAGUUAUUGCUGGUCUCUGUGAGGAUUUCUGACUGUUUUGAUGCUUCUCUCCAGAUUUUUUGUUUCUGUUUCUUGGCAAUGCCGUCUAAUUACAUCCAAUCAAUCAAAAUUUCCCAACUGUAUUUCAGCAGGACCGACCGUCAAUGCUAGAAGAUGCUGUUGAAUAUCUUAAAGCCUUGAAGCUUCAAGUUGAAGUGAUCACUUUAUCUGUAAUUGCAGUUCUUCAAGCCUUGCCUGCUAUUAACUUGUUUCUUUUUCUGUCCAUCAGAUGCUAUCCAUGAGUGGUGGAGCAACGUGCCAGGCCUCAUGUAUGCCACAGGCUGGAAUUCGAAGUGUAGCAAUUCCCCAAUUUUCUAUAUAGGCAUCCAUGAGGCCAAGUCCAGGAAUGGAAAUGUUUAGCAUGUCGCAUUCGUUGGGUCUUCCAAUGAUAUCACUUCCCUCAGCUGUGCAUCUCCAUUCUUCACUAUCAGCAGCAGCAGCUGGAUUGAAUCCAAUGACUGCACAUGAAAUUCUCCCCAACCCUCAAGUGCAAAUGCCAUUCCUUUCCUCACAGCCAAUACCUGCAGAUGUAGCCACAUCAAGUACACCGCCAACAUUUGCAACUGGGUUCUCUGCCACAUACGAUAGUCCUGACGAAGGAGAGUAUAGUCCUCGAAUGCACCGAAGGAACACCAUCUGAUUAUCAUCUACCAGUAAACAUGUCAAGUUAAUUCCAACCUGUACUCCUUUUUCUUAAUGCUUUUGGAAUCCACUACGAUCAUACCUUUUGUUCCCUGACCGAUUAUUUUCUCCAAUUAUCUUUUGCCGAAGUUGAUUGCUAUACAAUUCUUUGCCAUAUUAAUUAUCAGUUCUCAGAA